Anopheles maculipalpis is the source of this 350-nucleotide long non-coding RNA. RefSeq lists it as uncharacterized. Lineage: Eukaryota; Metazoa; Arthropoda; Insecta; Diptera; Culicidae. The record is from RefSeq and is a predicted model, not a curated record. The transcript is spliced from 3 exons.
UGAACGAGAGAAGAUUCUAUGAUUCUUCAGUUCCUAAGAUUAUUAUGCUAUGGGCAUCUGCAUUGGCGUCUUGGGACUAAUGCUGUGGGCCUGGAGGGUAAGAUCUCAAUGUCGGAGAAGGGGCUACCCAAGAGCCCAAUGGAGUGCUCUGCAUCGGGUUUCGGUAGUGGAAUCUUGGAGCCAUUACUAUUGGCCCGAACGCAAGCUUCGAAAAUGGUGGUGGACGUCCAAGCGUUCAGGGAGAACGGUGUACAUUGUGCUGCAAUACUUCACCAGGGCACUGGUAUUGUGGCUCUUACCUCGGGUUUUGUAAGCUCGUGUUAUUAAAACGCCUGGAAAAUCGUGCGCAU